Molecule: non-coding RNA, 200 nt
Filed under: Deferribacter desulfuricans
Lineage: Bacteria; Pseudomonadati; Deferribacterota; Deferribacteres; Deferribacterales; Deferribacteraceae
Source: RNAcentral
AUUUUUUGUUAGCUUUUUAGUGUCGAUGCUUCUGGUGUAGGGGAAGUCCGGUGAAAAUCCGGCGCUGUCCCGCAACUGUGAGCUGGACGAAAGCCCAUUAAGCCACUGCCGAGAACCUAAUAUAUUUAGGUGCUCGGUGGGAAGGCGGGCGAGUAGGAUGAAGGCGAGCCAGGAGACCCAGCCAGAAGUCAGCGGCAAAA